GAUGAACGCUGGCGGCGUGCUUAACACAUGCAAGUCGAACGGUGAACACGGAGCUUGCUCUGUGGGAUCAGUGGCGAACGGGUGAGUAACACGUGAGCAACCUGCCCCUGACUCUGGGAUAAGCGCUGGAAACGGCGUCUAAUACUGGAUAUGUGACGUGACCGCAUGGUCUGCGUUUGGAAAGAUUUUUCGGUUGGGGAUGGGCUCGCGGCCUAUCAGCUUGUUGGUGAGGUAAUGGCUCACCAAGGCGUCGACGGGUAGCCGGCCUGAGAGGGUGACCGGCCACACUGGGACUGAGGCACGGCCCAGACUCCUACGGGAGGCAGCAGUGGGGAAUAUUGCACAAUGGGCGGAAGCCUGAUGCAGCAACGCCGCGUGAGGGAUGACGGCCUUCGGGUUGUAAACCUCUUGUAGCAGGGAAGAAGCGAAAGUGACGGUACCUGCAGAAAAAGCGCCGGCUAACUACGUG
Molecule: ribosomal RNA, 469 nt
Filed under: uncultured bacterium
Lineage: Bacteria
Description: partial 16S ribosomal RNA
Rfam family: Bacterial small subunit ribosomal RNA
Source: RNAcentral